AACAGUCACAUGAAUAUGUAGUAUCCAUGAAUGCAGGUUCAUUGUUCCAAGCACUUCUGCUCUGAUGCAAGAAUUAUUCUUGAUCUGUAAGCUGCAGUGAACCAAACUCUUCUUCACCUUAGACUAGUUGACUCAUCAACCAGGAACUGCUGUGCUGAAUAGCCAAUCGGGCCAAUCCCGUUCACUUUCACACGAUGUAACAUGGAAGGUACUGGGAAAUGAUUGACGUUUUCUUCACAAAGGAAAAUGAUGGCCAUCUGGCUUCAGUGCCACAGUUACUCUGGAAGUCCGAUUCUUCAGUGUUCUUGCAGCACACACAAAAAGGAAAAGAAAAAAUAAAAAGGAAGAAAAUAGAAAAGGAAGAGGAAAAAUGAAAAACGAAGAAAAAAUUGUAGAAGAAAACACUCCAUGAGUCACAGUUUGCAUGCUGGACAGAGAAGUGCAGAGGUCAAAGAGGACUGGUAAUUGCCCCCUCCCUCCUCCACCAAACCCCAGACCGAAUCAUCAUGUCAUGGUGGUGUCGAGUGAGGUCAAGAGGCGCCGGUGAUGAGCGAUGGUGGCGAAGGAGGGCGUGUGAGGGAUAACAAUGAUGUUGGCUACCUCUCAUGGAGGGCGCGGCAAGGACUGUGGAGGAGCAUAAUGGCAUCCCUAGUUUGAUUGGAGCGUUCUCUCUGUUUGACAUGCCACGCUCUGGGCCUCUGCCAACUUGUAAACUCUUCAAUACUUGAAGAGCUCUCGGCAUUCACCCACUGUGCGAGCGCCGUGGCCUUGGGUGGUAUCUCCUCCAUGUACAAAAUACGGUAUGUAUAUGGAUCUGCCUUGGAGCUAGUUGUACUAUCAUAGCUUUGGAGAAACUCUCUCCCUUCUCACAAAAGAAGAAGAAAAAAAAAUGUGAAAAGAAAAAAAGAAAAAGGAAAAAAAUG
Molecule: long non-coding RNA, 923 nt
Organism: Hordeum vulgare subsp. vulgare (domesticated barley)
Lineage: Eukaryota; Viridiplantae; Streptophyta; Magnoliopsida; Poales; Poaceae
Exons: 5
Source: RefSeq, a predicted model, not a curated record